AGUGUUAGGCACUUUGCCGGCAUCGUGUCUUGUUACCUCCAUCAGGGCUCUGAAGCAGGCGCCACUAUUACCUCCAUUAAGAGACAUGGAAUCUGAGGUUCAGAGACGCCGAGCGACUUGCUCAAGGUCACACAGCUACUGAAUGGACUGACCCGUGUAACCAACAGGAUAUUGCAGAAAUGAUAGUGUGAUUUCUGAGACUACUUCAUAAAGGACACUGCAGCUUCUGCACUUGUUCUAGGCUAGUGGAAGCCAGCUGCCAUGUUGUAAGCACACACAAGCAACCCUAUGGAGGAUUAUAGGUGGUGAGGAACUGAGGCUUCCUGCCAUCAGCCAGAACCAAUGUUGCAGUGCCAGUCAAGCCAUCAAGUGACCACAGCUCCAUUCUGACAUCCUGACUGCAACCUUAUGAGAGAGCUUAAGCCAGAAUCACCUAGCAAAAUUACUCCUGAAUUCCUGACACACAGAAAGUGUGAGUGUCUGGGACAGUGCUCAUCAUACAGUAGGUGCUCAGUACAUGCUCAGUGAAUGAAUGAAGAUGGUGGAAAGGAACCCGUUGAAGGUUCUUCUGCAGGAGGGGCCCAGCCUCCAUUUGGCUCUCCAGGCCCAACUUGAUGGUCUUCCUCAUGCCUCC
Molecule: long non-coding RNA, 634 nt
Organism: Eubalaena glacialis (North Atlantic right whale)
Lineage: Eukaryota; Metazoa; Chordata; Mammalia; Artiodactyla; Balaenidae
Exons: 4
Source: RefSeq, a predicted model, not a curated record